GAUGAAUGCUGGCGGCGUGCCUAAUACAUGCAAGUCGAGCGGUAAGGCCCUUCGGGGUACACGAGCGGCGGACGGCUGAGUAACGCGUGGGAACAUGCCCCAAAGUGAGGGAUAACGCACCGAAAGGUGUGCUAAUACCGCAUAUGGUCUUCGGAUUAAAGGAUUAUCCGCUUUGGGAGUGGCCCGCGUACGAUUAGAUUGUUGGUGAGGUAACGGCUCACCAAGUCGACGAUCGUUAACUGGUCUGAGAGGAUGAUCAGUCAGACUGGAACUGAGACACGGUCCAGACUCCUACGGGAGGCAGCAGUAAGGAAUCUCCCACAAUGGGCGAAAGCCUGAUGGAGCAACGCCGCGUGCAGGAUGAAGGCCCUCGGUCGUAAACUGCUUUAUGAGUGAAGAAUAUGACGGUAACUCAUGAAUAAGCACCGGCUAACUACGUGCCAGCAGCCGCGGUAAU
This 457-nucleotide ribosomal RNA is filed under the name uncultured bacterium. Its description in RNAcentral is "bacterial SSU rRNA". It matches the Rfam family "Bacterial small subunit ribosomal RNA", at positions 28 to 524 of the family's 1533-position model. The record is from RNAcentral.